AGAGGAAGUAAAAGUCGUAACAAGGUUUCCGUAGGUGAACCUGCGGAAGGAUCAUUACCGAGUUAGGGUCUUAUAGGCCCGACCUCCAACCCUUUGUUUACUACACCAUGUUGCUUUGGCGGGCCCGCCUUUUGGGGCCGCCGGGGGUUUACAAGCCCCUGGUCAGUGUUCGCCAGUAGCCUUAUUAAAUUCUUUUAUAAUUAUGUUGUCUGAGUAUAAAUAUAAAUCGUUAAAACUUUCAACAACGGAUCUCUUGGUUCUGGCAUCGAUGAAGAACGCAGCGAAAUGCGAUAAGUAAUGCGAAUUGCAGAAUUCAGUGAGUCAUCGAAUCUUUGAACGCAUAUUGCGCCCUUUGGCAUUCCGAAGGGCAUGCCUGUUCGAGCGUCAUUAUCAACCAUCAAGCCUGGCUUGUCGUUGGACCUCUUUACCGCUGAAAUAUGUGGUAGGUCCGAAAGAUAAUGACGGCGUCGUGUUUGACCCUAGAUGCAACGAGCUUUUUAUAGCACGCAUUGAAGUGGUCGGCCGACCCGGUCUUUAACCAUCAUUUUCUAAGGUUGACCUCGGAUCAGGUAGGAAUAC
Molecule: ribosomal RNA, 579 nt
Filed under: uncultured fungus
Lineage: Eukaryota; Fungi
Description: eukaryotic LSU rRNA
Rfam family: 5.8S ribosomal RNA (bases 234-387)
Source: RNAcentral